CGUGACGGGUGAGUAACACGUGGAUAACCUACCUAUAAGACUGGGAUAACUUCGGGAAACCGGAGCUAAUACCGGAUAAUAUAUUGAACCGCAUGGUUCAAUAGUGAAAGACGGUUUUGCUGUCACUUAUAGAUGGAUCCGCGCCGCAUUAGCUAGUUGGUAAGGUAACGGCUUACCAAGGCAACGAUGCGUAGCCGACCUGAGAGGGUGAUCGGCCACACUGGAACUGAGACACGGUCCAG
RNAcentral lists this ribosomal RNA (242 nucleotides) under uncultured Staphylococcus sp. RNAcentral describes it as "partial 16S ribosomal RNA". It matches the Rfam family "Bacterial small subunit ribosomal RNA", at positions 102 to 334 of the family's 1533-position model. Lineage: Bacteria; Bacillati; Bacillota; Bacilli; Caryophanales; Staphylococcaceae. The record is from RNAcentral.